RNAcentral lists this transfer RNA (75 nucleotides) under Microcaldota archaeon. RNAcentral describes it as "tRNA-Glu". It matches the Rfam family "tRNA". Rfam says of the family: Transfer RNA (tRNA) molecules are approximately 80 nucleotides in length. Their secondary structure includes four short double-helical elements and three loops (D, anti-codon, and T loops). The record is from RNAcentral. RNAcentral also lists the same sequence under 1 other name. Lineage: Archaea; Nanobdellati; Microcaldota.
GCUCCCAUCGUCUAGUCCGGUCAAGGACGUGAGGCUUUCAACCUUAAAACUCGGGUUCAAAUCCCGAUGGGAGCA